This 2248-nucleotide ribosomal RNA is filed under the name Salmonella enterica subsp. houtenae serovar 48:g,z51:-. RNAcentral describes it as "bacterial LSU rRNA". It matches the Rfam family "Bacterial large subunit ribosomal RNA", at positions 592 to 2824 of the family's 2925-position model. Lineage: Bacteria; Pseudomonadati; Pseudomonadota; Gammaproteobacteria; Enterobacterales; Enterobacteriaceae. The record is from RNAcentral.
GGUGACUGCGUACCUUUUGUAUAAUGGGUCAGCGACUUAUAUUCUGUAGCAAGGUUAACCGCAUAGGGGAGCCGAAGGGAAACCGAGUCUUAAUUGGGCGUUAAGUUGCAGGGUAUAGACCCGAAACCCGGUGAUCUAGCCAUGGGCAGGUUGAAGGUUGGGUAACACUAACUGGAGGACCGAACCGACUAAUGUUGAAAAAUUAGCGGAUGACCUGUGGCUGGGGGUGAAAGGCCAAUCAAACCGGGAGAUAGCUGGUUCUCCCCGAAAGCUAUUUAGGUAGCGCCUCGUGAACUCAUCUCCGGGGGUAGAGCACUGUUUCGGCUAGGGGGCCAUCCCGGCUUACCAACCCGAUGCAAACUGCGAAUACCGGAGAAUGUUAUCACGGGAGACACACGGCGGGUGCUAACGUCCGUCGUGAAGAGGGAAACAACCCAGACCGCCAGCUAAGGUCCCAAAGUCAUGGUUAAGUGGGAAACGAUGUGGGAAGGCCCAGACAGCCAGGAUGUUGGCUUAGAAGCAGCCAUCAUUUAAAGAAAGCGUAAUAGCUCACUGGUCGAGUCGGCCUGCGCGGAAGAUGUAACGGGGCUAAACCAUGCACCGAAGCUGCGGCAGCGACACUGUGUGUUGUUGGGUAGGGGAGCGUUCUGUAAGCCGUUGAAGGUGUGUCGUGAGGCAUGCUGGAGGUAUCAGAAGUGCGAAUGCUGACAUAAGUAACGAUAAAGCGGGUGAAAAGCCCGCUCGCCGGAAGACCAAGGGUUCCUGUCCAACGUUAAUCGGGGCAGGGUGAGUCGACCCCUAAGGCGAGGCCGAAAGGCGUAGUCGAUGGGAAACGGGUUAAUAUUCCCGUACUUGGUGUUACUGCGAAGGGGGGACGGAGAAGGCUAUGUUGGCCGGGCGACGGUAGUCCCGGUUUAAGCGUGUAGGCUGGUUUUCCAGGCAAAUCCGGAAAAUCAAGGCUGAGGCGUGAUGACGAGGCACCACGGUGCUGAAGCAACAAAUGCCCUGCUUCCAGGAAAAGCCUCUAAGCAUCAGGUAACAUCAAAUCGUACCCCAAACCGACACAGGUGGUCAGGUAGAGAAUACCAAGGCGCUUGAGAGAACUCGGGUGAAGGAACUAGGCAAAAUGGUGCCGUAACUUCGGGAGAAGGCACGCUGACACGUAGGUGAAGUGAUUUACUCAUGGAGCUGAAGUCAGUCGAAGAUACCAGCUGGCUGCAACUGUUUAUUAAAAACACAGCACUGUGCAAACACGAAAGUGGACGUAUACGGUGUGACGCCUGCCCGGUGCCGGAAGGUUAAUUGAUGGGGUCAGCGCAAGCGAAGCUCCUGAUCGAAGCCCCGGUAAACGGCGGCCGUAACUAUAACGGUCCUAAGGUAGCGAAAUUCCUUGUCGGGUAAGUUCCGACCUGCACGAAUGGCGUAAUGAUGGCCAGGCUGUCUCCACCCGAGACUCAGUGAAAUUGAACUCGCUGUGAAGAUGCAGUGUACCCGCGGCAAGACGGAAAGACCCCGUGAACCUUUACUAUAGCUUGACACUGAACAUUGAGCCUUGAUGUGUAGGAUAGGUGGGAGGCUUUGAAGCGUGGACGCCAGUCUGCGUGGAGCCGACCUUGAAAUACCACCCUUUAAUGUUUGAUGUUCUAACGUGGACCCGUAAUCCGGGUUGCGGACAGUGUCUGGUGGGUAGUUUGACUGGGGCGGUCUCCUCCUAAAGAGUAACGGAGGAGCACGAAGGUUGGCUAAUCCUGGUCGGACAUCAGGAGGUUAGUGCAAUGGCAUAAGCCAGCUUGACUGCGAGCGUGACGGCGCGAGCAGGUGCGAAAGCAGGUCAUAGUGAUCCGGUGGUUCUGAAUGGAAGGGCCAUCGCUCAACGGAUAAAAGGUACUCCGGGGAUAACAGGCUGAUACCGCCCAAGAGUUCAUAUCGACGGCGGUGUUUGGCACCUCGAUGUCGGCUCAUCACAUCCUGGGGCUGAAGUAGGUCCCAAGGGUAUGGCUGUUCGCCAUUUAAAGUGGUACGCGAGCUGGGUUUAGAACGUCGUGAGACAGUUCGGUCCCUAUCUGCCGUGGGCGCUGGAAGACUGAGGGGGGCUGCUCCUAGUACGAGAGGACCGGAGUGGACGCAUCACUGGUGUUCGGGUUGUCAUGCCAAUGGCACUGCCCGGUAGCUAAAUGCGGAAAAGAUAAGUGCUGAAAGCAUCUAAGCACGAAACUUGCCCCGAGAUGAGUCUUCCCUGAGACUUUGA